This 70-nucleotide transfer RNA is filed under the name Nasonia giraulti. Its description in RNAcentral is "tRNA-Arg". The record is from RNAcentral. Lineage: Eukaryota; Metazoa; Arthropoda; Insecta; Hymenoptera; Pteromalidae. RNAcentral also lists the same sequence under 1 other name.
AAAAAUGAAGCUAAAUCUUAGCAAUUAAUUUCGACUUAAUUUAUUAAUAAUUUAAAUUUAUUCAUUUUUA